RNAcentral lists this ribosomal RNA (252 nucleotides) under uncultured bacterium. Its description in RNAcentral is "partial 16S ribosomal RNA". It matches the Rfam family "Bacterial small subunit ribosomal RNA", at positions 524 to 776 of the family's 1533-position model. The record is from RNAcentral.
UACGGAGGAUGCGAGCGUUAUCCGGAUUUAUUGGGUUUAAAGGGUGCGCAGGCGGCACGGCAAGCCGGCGGUCAAAUCGCGGGGCUCAACCCCGCCCAGCCGUCGGAACUGCCGGGCUAGAGUGGGCGAGAAGUGCGCGGAAUGCGUGGUGUAGCGGUGAAAUGCAUAGAUAUCACGCAGAACUCGGAUUGCGAAGGCAGCGCACCGGCGCCCUACUGACGCUCAGGCACGAAAGCGUGGGUAUCGAACAGG